AUGGACUGAAGCCUACCAGGCUUCUCCAUCCAUGGGAUUUUCUAGGCAAAAGUACUGGAGUGGAGUGCCAUUGCCUUCUCGAGAGGCAGAAUAAGAUUGGCUUAAAAUUACAGGGUGUUCUUACUGCCCUGAAACUUGUUCUCAUUUAAUCUCAGAACUAGUCCUGGCCUAAGAAUGGUAAAAAGAAAAAGCAGAAGUCUUUUCUGAAGGGUUCAAUGUGGUGCAGGAAAGUAGAAGCAGCUGCAAAAAAAAAAAAAAAAAAAAAAAAAUCAGUUGCUGGCAGUAUCCUGAUGGCACAGUGCCCUCUGGUGUUAGGAAAGGGGUACUUUCAUCACAUGCAUAUUGAGAACUAAGCAAAGAUGGGAGCUUCCAGCAGGUCUCAAUCCAUGCUGUUAUGCAACUUUUUUGUAUUUACCAUACACACAAAAAUGUUGACUAACAACCAAUAUUAUGCUUAGUACCCUACAUACUUUAUAGGAAAGUGAUUCCCAGCAGCUCUACUUUGAGAAGUGGAACAAAAUUAUUUAAGAGCUAUGCUACAGAAAAAUUUUACAAAUAAUGGAAGAUUGCACAUAAUUAACUUUUUAGAAAUAUAAAUUAGAGAAUAUUCAAGAUGAUCUAUGAUAAUUUCUUAUUCACUCAUGUAAGAACAUUAGAGGGGGAAAGAAAAGAAGUACAAAGGGUGUAUAACAAUGGAAGAAAGUUCUGCUUUGGUGUUGGUACAUCUUAGAAAAAACAUUCAGCUGGAACAUAACCAGUUCAUCCUAGAGAUCAUUUUCUAUUUGAAAAAUAUGGUUAAAAUUAUGAACAUUGUUGAAAAUGAUACCAAUCAUCAUGCAGAAUCAUGGAUACGAAAAUGAGCUGAAUGUGGCGUAGAUCAUGAACUCCUUAUUGCCAAAUUCAGACCGAAAUGGAAGAAAGUAGGGAAAACCACUACACCAUUCAGGUAUGACCUAAAUCAAAUCCCUUAUGAUUAUACAGUGGAAAUGACAAAUAGAUUCAAGGGAUUAGAUCUGAUAGACAGAGUAUCUGAAAAACUAUGGACGG
This 1047-nucleotide long non-coding RNA is filed under the name Bos indicus x Bos taurus (hybrid cattle). RNAcentral describes it as "lncRNA (ENSBIXG00005029518.1)". Lineage: Eukaryota; Metazoa; Chordata; Mammalia; Artiodactyla; Bovidae. The record is from RNAcentral.